AUCGCUUCUCGGCCUUUUGGCUAAGAUCAAGUGUAUUUUAAAUCAGAUUGUUUGAAUUUUGUUACUGAGUUGUAUGAGUGCAUAUCUUGCAUAUAUUUGAACAUUAACCCCUUUUCAAUGAUAAAAUGAUAUUAUG
This 136-nucleotide small nuclear RNA is filed under the name Moschus moschiferus (Siberian musk deer). RNAcentral's name for it is "U2 spliceosomal RNA (ENSMMSG00000009306.1)". The stretch from base 1 to 113 matches the Rfam family "U2 spliceosomal RNA". From Rfam's summary of the family: U2 is a small nuclear RNA (snRNA) component of the spliceosome (involved in pre-mRNA splicing). Complementary binding between U2 snRNA (in an area lying towards the 5' end but 3' to hairpin I) and the branchpoint sequence (BPS) of the intron results the bulging out of an unpaired adenosine, on the BPS, which initiates a nucleophilic attack at the intronic 5' splice site, thus starting the first of two transesterification reactions that mediate splicing. The record is from RNAcentral. Lineage: Eukaryota; Metazoa; Chordata; Mammalia; Artiodactyla; Moschidae.